CUAUUCAGGAAUUGUCGGAGGCUGGCUUGCUGUAACACGAACAUUGGAGUGUAUAGGAUUCAUAUUUAUCCUAAAAGCUCUGAUAGUGUCUCUGGUGUAUGUUUGUGUGCCGCGGUUCGAUACGCCUGGUAUUUUGUACACACAAGCCGGACUUCACUUUGUGGCAGCGCUGCUUGUCCUAGUUGGUGACAUCAUUUUCGGAGUAUACAAAGCGCAGGAUGGUUACGUGAUAUCGUGGUCGCUGGUUUUGACCAUUCUAAUGAUAAUUCUUGAAAUAACGAGUGGAAUACUAGUGGUCCUACAUAGCCGCUGACAAAUUAUCUCAGUUUCAUUUGAACAAAAAUAGUUUGAUGCGCAAGGACAUCUUACUCUAGCG
Molecule: long non-coding RNA, 376 nt
Organism: Lingula anatina
Lineage: Eukaryota; Metazoa; Brachiopoda; Lingulata; Lingulida; Lingulidae
Source: RefSeq, a predicted model, not a curated record